This 819-nucleotide ribosomal RNA is filed under the name uncultured bacterium. Its description in RNAcentral is "bacterial SSU rRNA". It matches the Rfam family "Bacterial small subunit ribosomal RNA", at positions 28 to 896 of the family's 1533-position model. The record is from RNAcentral.
AGCGAACGCUGGCGGCAGGCCUAAUACAUGCAAGUCGAGCGCACCUCCGGGUGAGCGGCGGACGGGUGAGUAACGCGUGGGAAUAUGCCCUUUGGUACGGAACAACUGAGGGAAACUUCAGCUAAUACCGUAUGUCCCCUUCGGGGGAAAGAUUUAUCGCCAUUGGAGUAGCCCGCGUUGGAUUAGGUAGUUGGUGAGGUAAAGGCUCACCAAGCCUACGAUCCAUAGCUGGUCUGAGAGGAUGAUCAGCCACAUUGGGACUGAGACACGGCCCAAACUCCUACGGGAGGCAGCAGUAGGGAAUCUUGCGCAAUGGGCGAAAUCCUGACGCAGCCAUGCCGCGUGAAUGAUGAAGGUCUUAGGAUUGUAAAAUUCUUUCACCGGGGAAGAUAAUGACGGUACCCGGAGAAGAAGCCCCGGCUAACUUCGUGCCAGCAGCCGCGGUAAUACGAAGGGGGCUAGCGUUGCUCGGAAUUACUGGGCGUAAAGGGCGCGUAGGCGGAUAGUUUAGUCAGAGGUGAAAGCCCAGGGCUCAACCCUGGAAUUGCCUUUGAUACUGGCUAUCUUGAGUUCGGGAGAGGUGAGUGGAACUCCGAGUGUAGAGGUGAAAUUCGUAGAUAUUCGGAAGAACACCAGUGGCGAAGGCGACUCACUGGCCCGAUACUGACGCUGAGGCGCGAAAGCGUGGGGAGCAAACAGGAUUAGAUACCCUGGUAGUCCACGCUGUAAACGAUGAGUGCUAGUUGUCGGCAUGCAUGCAUGUCGGUGACGCAGCUAACGCAUUAAGCACUCCGCCUGGGGAGUACGGUCGCAAGAUUA